This 497-nucleotide ribosomal RNA is filed under the name uncultured bacterium. RNAcentral's name for it is "partial 16S ribosomal RNA". It matches the Rfam family "Bacterial small subunit ribosomal RNA", at positions 28 to 507 of the family's 1533-position model. The record is from RNAcentral.
GAUGAACGCUGGCGGCGUGCCUAAUACAUGCAAGUCGAGCGAACGGACGAGAAGCUUGCUUCUCUGAUGUUAGCGGCGGACGGGUGAGUAACACGUGGAUAACCUACCUAUAAGACUGGGAUAACUUCGGGAAACCGGAGCUAAUACCGGAUAAUAUUUUGAACCGCAUGGUUCAAUAGUGAAAGACGGUCUUGCUGUCACUUAUAGAUGGAUCCGCGCUGCAUUAGCUAGUUGGUAAGGUAACGGCUUACCAAGGCAACGAUGCAUAGCCGACCUGAGAGGGUGAUCGGCCACACUGGAACUGAGACGCGGUCCAGACUCCUACGGGAGGCAGCAGUAGGGAAUCUUCCGCAAUGGGCGAAAGCUUGACGGAGCAACGCCGCGUGAGUGAUGAAGGUCUUCGGAUCGUAAAACUCUGUUAUUAGGGAAGAACAAAUGUGUAAGUAACUGUGCACGUCUUGACGGUACCUAAUCAGAAAGCCACGGCUAACUACGUG